CACUAUGAUGAUUCAAUUUUGCUUCGGCAAGUUGGAAUUACCGACUGAAAGCCAUCUGGCUAUCUGAAGAAAACAACAGGCUGUUUCUGAUU
RNAcentral lists this small nucleolar RNA (92 nucleotides) under Ophiostoma piceae UAMH 11346. RNAcentral's name for it is "A. fumigatus snoRNA Afu_300". It matches the Rfam family "A. fumigatus snoRNA Afu_300". The record is from Rfam by way of RNAcentral. Lineage: Eukaryota; Fungi; Ascomycota; Sordariomycetes; Ophiostomatales; Ophiostomataceae.